RNAcentral lists this ribosomal RNA (396 nucleotides) under Reticulitermes aculabialis. RNAcentral describes it as "partial 16S ribosomal RNA". The record is from RNAcentral. Lineage: Eukaryota; Metazoa; Arthropoda; Insecta; Blattodea; Rhinotermitidae.
AAAACAUCUUUUCUUGUUAGUUUUUGAAGUAUGGCCUGCCCGCUGACUUUGGUGUUGAAGGGCCGCGGUAUUUUGACCGUGCAAAGGUAGCAUAGUCAUUAGUUCUUUAAUUGUGAUCUGGUAUGAAUGGCUUGACGAGGCAUGGGCUGUCUUAAUUUUGAAUUGUUUAUUGAAUUUAGUCUUUGAGUUAAAAUUCUUAGAUGUUUUUAUGGGACGAGAAGACCCUAUAGAGUUUGACAUUUGUUAUGGUCCCUUUCUGUUUGUGAGGGUUCACUGGGCCGUUUAAUAUGUUUUGUUGGGGUGAUGGGAGGGAUAUAAAUGAACCCCUCCUUUUGUUAUUAUAUUUAUUUAUAUUUACUUGAUCCAUUUAUUUUGAUUGUAAGAUUAAAUUACCUU